UAGAACCUGAAACCCUAUGCCUACAAGGUGUAAGAGCACUUUCGAGUGUGAUUGCGUGCCUUUUGCUUAAUGAGUCUGCGAGUUACUUUCUGUGGCAAGCAUAAGAUCUUCUGGAUCGGAUGCGUAGCGAAAGCAAGUCCGAAUAGGGCGAACAUAGUUGCAGGAGGUAGACCCGAAACGGAGGUGACCUACCCAUGGCCAGGUUGAAGCGUCGGUAAUACGACGUGGAGGACCGAACCGGUGUGUGUUGAAAAACGCUCGGAUGAGCUGUGGGUCGGAGUGAAAGGCUAUUCAAACCCCGUGAUAGCUGGUUCUCCUCGAAAUGCAUUUAGGUGCAGCGUUGCGUGCUGAUGAGUGGGGGUAGAGCACUGACAGGGCUAGGGGGCAUACCCGCCUACCAACCCCUAUCAAACUCCGAAUACCAUUCAAUGGAGCGCAGCAGUGAGACGGCGGGGGAUAAGCUUCGUCGUCGAGAGGGAAACAGCCCAGACCGGCAGCUAAGGUGCCUAAAUAGUGCUCAGUGGAAAGGAGGUGAGGUUUCAUAGACAGUGAGGAUGUUGGCUUAGAAGCAGCCACCAUUUAAAAAAUGCGUAAUAGCUUACUCAUCGAGAGACCUUGCGCCGAAAAUACUUGGCGAUAAGCACUAUACCGAAGCUCCGGGUGUCAUAUUUAACUAUAUGGCGCGGUAGAGGAGCAUUCUCUAGACAGUGAAGGGUGAUGGUGACUGACCCUGGAGUGUAGAGAAGUGAGAAUGCAGACAUGAGUAACGAUAAGGCCGGUGAAAUCCCGGCCCGCCGUAAAUCCAAGGUUUCCCGGGCAACGUUUUUCGUCCCGGGGUUAGUCGGGACCUAACCCGAGGCCGAAGGGCGUAGGGGAUGGAAAGCAGGUUAAUAUUCCUGCACCCAGUUAGGAGGACGCAUGAUCAAAAGCUACUAAGUUAUUGAAUUCUGAGGUGAUACUACGGUUGAUCCGCAUAGCUAGAGAGAGUGCCAAGAAAAGUCCUAACAUUAAUGGCCCGUACCGUAAACCGACACAGGUGGAUGGGUAGAAUAUACCAAGGCGCAAGAGUGAAACCUAGUCAAGGAACUCGGCAAAAUAGCCCCGUAACUUCGGAAGAAGGGGUGCCUAUUUUUUAAUAGGCCGCAGUGAAAUGGCCCAACCGACUGUUUAGCAAAAACACAGCAUUGUGCUAAGACGUAAGUCGACGUAUACGAUGUGACACGUGACCAAUGCCAAAAGAUUACGGUAAGGUGUUAGCCCUCGUGGCAAAGCUCCAAGCCCAAGUCCUGGUGAAUGUCGGCCGUAACUAUAACGGUCCUAAGGUAGCGAAAUUCCUUGUCGGGUAAGUUCCGACCUGCACGAAUCGUGCAACGAGUUGGGCGCUGUCUCGACUAGAUGCUCAGUGAAAUUGUAGUGCCGGUGAAGAUGCCGGCUACCCGCAGAAAGACGGAAAGACCCUAUAGACCUUAACUGUAAGCUGUUACUGGUUAUUCGAUUUUAAUGCUCAGCAUAAGUGGGAGACGUUGAAGCGUGUUUUUAGGAACAUGUGGAGUCAUCAGUGAGAUACCACCCUUUAACAUUGGAUGAUCUAACCCUAAGCCGUCAUCCGGCUAGGGGACCGUGGCAGCCGGUCAGUUUUACUGGGGCGGUAUCCUCCUAAAGAGUAACGGAGGAGCGCGAAGUUUGGCUCAGCACAGUUGGUAACUGUGUGUUGAGUGUAAAGGCAUAAGCCAGACUAACUGUGAGACCUACAAGUCGAGCAGAUACGAAAGUAGGCCUUAGUGAUCCGGCGGUUGAAUGUGGAAUUGCCGUCGCUCAACGGAUAAAAGGUACCUUAGGGAUAACAGGCUUAUUUCGCCCAAGAGUUCAUAUCGACGGCGAAGUUUGGCACCUCGAUGUCGGCUCGUCGCAUCCUGGGGCUGGAGAAGGUCCCAAGGGUCCGGCUGUUCGCCGGUUAAAGCGGCACGCGAGCUGGGUUCAGAACGUCGCGAGACAGUUCGGUCCUCUAUCUUCUGUGGGCGUAGGAAAAUUGAUGGGUUCAGAUC
RNAcentral lists this ribosomal RNA (2045 nucleotides) under bacterium. RNAcentral describes it as "partial 23S ribosomal RNA". It matches the Rfam family "Bacterial large subunit ribosomal RNA", at positions 544 to 2677 of the family's 2925-position model. The record is from RNAcentral.